Long non-coding RNA from Psammomys obesus (fat sand rat), 1315 nucleotides. RefSeq lists it as uncharacterized. Lineage: Eukaryota; Metazoa; Chordata; Mammalia; Rodentia; Muridae. The record is from RefSeq and is a predicted model, not a curated record. The transcript is spliced from 2 exons.
CUUUUGGAGUUAAUGACAAAUUUGGAGUUAAUGGCAUCUGAGCAGUGGAAUUCGGCCUCUUGGCUUUGGCUAUUUUCCAAAGUCCAGUUUCUCAUAAACUGACCUUGGUGUUCCUACAGCAGACUGCUCUGAUCCCGAGAAACUCUGUGCAACCAUAGUAACCAGACAGCAGGCUCUGUGUAACCUUGAGUGAGCUCUCCUAUGUUUUGACCAAGUAAAGCUCCUACGUGCUUGUACUUUUUUGCCUACUUAAGUGUUAACCUGACGCCCAUUAAAUCGACACCUGGAUCAGCAUGUAGACUUGGUGUCCUCUGUGUCGCCCUGUCUCUCUCUCUCCCAGCCCUCUCUCAGGUAGUAUUCAGGUGUCACUGCCGGCCAGUGACAGAUGGAGCAGAAACCCCGGGAACCUGAGACAGAGGACCAGCUGAGGCAAGUUAUAUGGACCACAGGAGCGCGCGCAAAGCAACUGACUAAGGUUAAAGAUGCUGCUUGGUGGCUGCCAGAGAGACUGGUGCAACAAGUGGAUUACUUCAAGGAACAAGAUCAUUCUCCAAGUGACAAUAUUGCUGAUCCUGCUGCAGCUGAUUCAUCCAGUGAAGGCUAAAUUACACUUUUAGGCCUUAGUACCCAAUCCCCUCUUGUUCUCCCUGUACAUGUUAGCACACCUUUGUUUAGCUGGUCUGGUACUAUUCAUCUUUGUCAUUGCCAGAUGUGUUCACUUAGCUCAACAGCACCAAGCUAGAUUUAAUGCCAUUGAAACAGCAGCAUGCUGUGACUCCCUCCCCCCAAGUAGGGGCUUGGCUUGCCCAGCUCAAACGUUAGCUUUAACCUCUCCUUUUCUGUGUGAUGAGCCGGUUAGUCAAUGACCGGUUCUGGGUGAUCGAAUAUUUAUCAACCUAAGACACGAAAAUCCCCCUAUAAGUGGGAUUCGCCCAUGACGAGUAAAAUAUUUAUUGGGAAUCACCCCCACCUAAGACAGGCACGGUCCCUUUGUUUUAAUUUGAAAGGGAGGAAUUGUGGCAGCCUUUUGGAGUUAAUGACAAAUUUGGAGUUAAUGGCAUCUGAGCAGUGGAAUUCGGCCUCUUGGCUUUGGCUAUUUUCCAAAGUCCAGUUUCUCAUAAACUGACCUUGGUGUUCCUACAGCAGACUGCUCUGAUCCCGAGAAACUCUGUGCAACCAUAGUAACCAGGCUCUGUGUAACCUUGAGUGAGCUCUCUUAUGUUUUGACCAAGUAAAGCUCCUACGUGCUUGUACUUUUUUGCCUACUUAAGUGUUAACCUGACGUCCAUUAAAUCAACACCUGAAUCAGCAUGUA